AUGCCCCUGGACUUCACCAGGCACUUUGUCGCGGUGCCGAUGGAGUUCAAGCUCAGGAACAACACCGGCUGCUCCUGGAAGGUGACGGUCAAGCUGAUGAACGGCAGGGUGACCCUGGAUGAGGGUUGGGUCACCUGCGCAGUCGUUCAUCAGAUCAAGAUCGGCUACAUGGUGACGUUCAAGCUCCUCACUCCCGACACCCUCAAGGUCAUCAUAUUCAACGAUGAUGGCAUUGAGGUCGUCAACAAGUGCGGGAAGCACGACGAAGCCUUCGCCGCCAAGGAGUAG
RNAcentral lists this ribosomal RNA (288 nucleotides) under Triticum aestivum (bread wheat). RNAcentral describes it as "partial small subunit ribosomal RNA". Lineage: Eukaryota; Viridiplantae; Streptophyta; Magnoliopsida; Poales; Poaceae. The record is from RNAcentral.